CAGAAGUCAGGUCGGAUUAAGCCAUAGUACGGAAAAAACUAUGCUACCUGUGAGCCCCGUCCAAGGACGUUAAAAGAAGUCAGGCCAUCACAAGUGCCAUAGCUUGAGUAAACUAUGCAGCCUGUAGCUCCACCUGAGAAGGUGUAAAAAAUCUGGGAGGCCACAAACCAUGGAAGCUGUACGCAUGGCGUAGUGGACUAGCGGUUAGAGGAGACCCCUCCCUUACAAAUCGCAGCAACAAUGGGGGCCCAAGGCGAGAUGAAGCUGUAGUCUCGCUGGAAGGACUNNAGGUUNNNNGAGACCCCCC
RNAcentral lists this long non-coding RNA (307 nucleotides) under dengue virus type 2. RNAcentral's name for it is "Dengue virus type 2 partial sfRNA1". The stretch from base 156 to 227 matches the Rfam family "Flavivirus DB element". The record is from RNAcentral. Lineage: Riboviria; Orthornavirae; Kitrinoviricota; Flasuviricetes; Amarillovirales; Flaviviridae.